This 253-nucleotide ribosomal RNA is filed under the name uncultured bacterium. Its description in RNAcentral is "partial 16S ribosomal RNA". It matches the Rfam family "Bacterial small subunit ribosomal RNA", at positions 524 to 776 of the family's 1533-position model. The record is from RNAcentral.
UACGUAGGGGGCAAGCGUUGUCCGGAAUCAUUGGGCGUAAAGCGCGUGUAGGCGUCUUGGUAAGUCCGCUCUGAAAGCCCGGGGCUCAACCCCGGGAGGCGGGUGGAUACUGUCAAGCUCGAGUCCGGAAGAGGCGAGUGGAAUUCCCGGUGUAGCGGUGAAAUGCGCAGAUAUCGGGAGGAACACCAAUGGCGAAGGCAGCUCGCUGGGACGGUAUUGACGCUGAGACGCGAAAGCGUGGGGAGCAAACAGG